Falco tinnunculus (common kestrel) is the source of this 3432-nucleotide long non-coding RNA. The record is from Ensembl. Lineage: Eukaryota; Metazoa; Chordata; Aves; Falconiformes; Falconidae.
AUGGCAGGGUGCCGACAGACAGGGUGCUCAUUCUGCAACGGGAGGCUUGCUCUGCAACAGGGAGACGUUCAUCGGUUUCCAGCGCCGCUGUGUUGUCCCAGCUCUGAGGCCGCUCACUCUGUGGUAGGGCAGGGAUCAAACUGCUCCUGUCGGAGAAGACCAAAGCCACCUUUUCUGCUUCUCCUCCCCAAACUGUUGAGGACCCAGGUUAUAAUGCGAAGAGGCACCCCAAAGGUCCAAUGUCUUCUGUCUGAGGUCAAAGAGGAACUGUUGGAGAGGCUGUGCUUGACCACAAAACGUAGUGUCUUGUGAAGCCUUGCACAGGAGAUAGAAGCUUGCAUAGGCUCCACCAUGCAGCUGGAAUAUUCCUUUCAAAUCCUUUCUCAUUUCCUUAUUCAAACCAAAACUAAUUUUCACAAGAAUAUGUAAAGCCAUUUCUGUUAUUUGAAAGAUAAUUUUCCAUGAAGUUUUGCUUCAGUAGUACUUAUUUCAUCAAAGAUUUAUUUCUUAACUCCUAGAAAUGUAUUUCCUUCCCUUUUUUUCCCUCAACCUUCUUGUACUCAGAAACAGUCUCUUGAGGAUCACUUUCAAGGGCGGGAGAACUUCUACUAAGUAAAAAUAACUCUCAGGAAUACGCUAUGUUUGAAAUUUUUCAGUUCCAAACAAAAUCUCAGGAUGUAGUAGCAUCCUAAAAGAGGCAUUUGGGACAAAAAUGUUUGAUCAGCUUGAGUAAGGGGUUGUCAUCUCUUGUUACGGACUUUUCAUUGUACUAUAUGACUCCAACCUGUUCCUACACAUCCACUCGUUCACAGUAGACCUACUUCCUUCUCUAAGGGCUCUUUCCCCUCCCAUCUCUUCCAAGUUUUCAGUUCUUUGCUUACUUCAGUCACAUUUCCCUUCCCUCAAAACUUCAACUCGAGCCAUCCAUUCCCAAAGUCCUCUCCCCCUCUCCAUUUUUCCCUGCCAACCCUAGGCCAUGCUAAGGCCUUUUCUGGGAAAAGGCAAUGAGUGGUAGCUAGAAGUUUUAGAAGAUCUGUCCCAAAUGAUCCCAUCGCAGAAGAAAUCUAGGAAGGGCAGGAAGCAACCAAUCAAGCUAAAUUAUGAGCUCACAAAAAGGAAGGGCAGAGAAAGCAGAUCAGGUUUCCACGGGGUAAGAGCAGAAGUACCGCCUAGCCCGAGCAGAAGGGGACAAACACAAAAAAGCCAGUACACCAAAUAUAACUUCACCAGCACAAUCAUCGCAAGUAACAGCAAAUCAUUCAGUUAAGAACAUCAGUGGUAACAGCAAGCCAAAAGCAAAUGGAUUACUCAUCAGAGGGAGAAAGCUAUUGACUUUUUACAAGGGCAUGCAGCGAUAGGACAAGGGGUAAUGACUUUAAACUGAAAGAGGGUAGAUUUAGGCUAGAUAUUAGGAAGAACAGCUUGCCCAGAGAAGCUGCGGCUGCCCCAUCCCUGGAAGUGCUCAAGGCCAGGCUGGAUGGGGCUUUGGGCAACCUGGUCUAGUGGAAGGUGUCCCUGCCCAUGGCCGGGGGGUUGGAAUAGGUGAUCUUUAAGACCCAAACCAUUGUAUGUCUACAAUGCCAAGGAGGCUCAGAGUGCCUCAGGCCUUUUUUGCACCAGUCUUGGCUAAACGAGGUCACUUGCGAUCAGGUGAUUGACAUAAUACAUAUUAAUGACAAGGGAAUAAGGUUUCAGCCCAGACUGGGACAGAACCAGUUGCGAGAGUGCUUUGAUAACUUGGAGCUGUUCAAACCAGCAAACUGGCUGGACUUCACACCAGGGUAGUGAAGGAAGUGGCUCAGACAGCACGGGAAACAAAGUGUCUAUCUCUGAGAGCUCAGGGAAGCUAGCCAAGGGCCCUGCUGACAGAAAAAGGCAAAACUGGUGCCUAUCUUUAAAAAGGGCAUUUAUAAAUAAAUAAAUAAAUAGAUAGAUAGACAGACCAGCCAAACCUUUUUUUUUUUUUUCCCCUACAAAGCACCUAGCACAAAUAGGCACAUUAUUUGUAAAGGGGUAGAAGGAAACUAUGAGAUAAGCUACUAUUAGCCCGGCCUUGUCAACAAGAAAUUGGGACAAGCCAGCGAAAUUUGGUGAUAGAAGAGCAGACCUUGUUAUGGAAGAAAGAGCAAGGGCCUCAGUCAUCUGGGCCUUGUUAGGCUCUGCACGUUUGUUAAUAAAUGAGAGAGUUCAGCUUGUGUGAAAAAUGUGGGCAGUGGGUACAAAACUGUGGAAAGAGCAGCUGGCAGUGGUUUACUGGCCAAUGGGUGGAUUAUAGGUGCAAUUUCAAAGGGAUCUGUCCUGGGAUGUUUUGUUAGCGGCCUUCAGAGAGGGCAUUCAUCGGGGAGCAACUGCAAGCAAGUACAUUGGAGAAUAAUGUAAGAAUUGAAAAUCCUCUUAAGAAAUUGCUUGGAAAGCACAAAACGUAACCGAAAAACAAGGAACAGGAGUUGGUUUUGCAGGCAGGGUUAACACAUUGCACGCACAGAGGCUGGGGCACUGCUCAGAGUGCACCACAGGCAGCAGCUGAGGGGGAACCAGAGGACAGCUGGGGGCAAUCGCUGACGGCACCGGGAGAGGUGGACAGAUCACACACAGCUGGUUGUCAUAAAGAAAGCACAUUGCAGGGACAUGGUAACAGCCAUCAGCUGCGAAAGGGCACUACAACACAGGAAGAGUAAGAGAAGACUUCCCUGGGCAGGGAGCACCAGGUUCUUCUUUCAGCAAGGAAUAUUCAGAUCAGGGGAUGAUUGAUAUUCAUAUAUAUAUAUACAUACAUAUUUCAGCAAGGAAUAUUCAGAUGCUGAGGAGGCUGUAGGGCUGCUUGGGUGCUGCCAAUCCCUGAGAGCAGGGCUAAGGGAAGCCCUACAAAAGGGAUCCAGAGCCACCAGUACAUGGGAAAACUUUUUGGUGUCCUACGUAAGAAAAGGAGCUAAAGGGAGAAAGGUCUAAGGAGUUAAUGGUGUACAAUAACUCGCUGGCAGGGACUGGAUCAAGUAAAUGAAAAUCCACCAACAACUUGCUCUUCCAUUUAUAUUCGGUAAUGACGCCAGUCCUCUUCUAAUGCACACAAGUGUUUUCUGCUCACUAGCCAUGUUCAUGUCUACAAGCGCCUAUUGAUCUGUUGUCUCUCUUCCCCUUCUUCCAAAGGAAAAAAUAACCGCACGGUUCAGUAAUGCAUGGGCUGUGCUACACGAUGAAAAUAAUCCGAGGCGCUUACACGCUGAAGUAAAUUUAGCUUAACAUAAAAAUAACCGUCACAAAUUCGAAAUGUCUGUUUUACAAUUAAUGUCAGGCGUAAAUUUUUUUUCCUAGUGUGCACCAAUUCGGCAGGCCGGCCAAAGCGAUGCAGGCACACCUUCCCGCACCGCUCCGGGUCUCGCAAAUGUCCCCUUCGACUUUCACUCCUUCCCUGCGGGCUGCCCCCGCUCCCGC